AGUGGUGCCAUUGUAAGAAUGGUUGAAUUCUUGUCUUCUCUCUCUGGAAAACUUUAUUAUAAUUUUUUUAAGUUUUAAAAACUGUUUUAACAUUCUUAUGCACUAAUAGCUCUUAGGUUUCAUAGAAUUUGAUUGACCAAUAAUUUUAAUAAAAAAAAAAGUUUAGUUCAUUAUGCCUAUUCCAUUCUCCUAGCAUUUAGUUCCCUCAUGUUUCUUCCUUUUUUUUUCCAUUUGAUUUGAGCACCACUUGAGCUAAGCCUUAGUAGUAGUAGUGGCUAUGUUUUCAACACUCCAUUUUCCUUCCAUGUUUUCCCUGGCUGAUUUUGAGUAAAAGAUUUUUGUGUGGUGAUUAUGCUAGUAUGUUUUCAAAGAUGCGUGUUUUCUCCCAGCUCAUGUGCAUGGUAACCUUUGAUGAUGCAGGGAGGUAGCAGAUUUUGCUUGCAGAAUAAAUUCUGACUGGACAGAGAGGAUGCAAGAUUUUUUAACAUCCGGGAGAGAGAGGACAUCAAUGUUUUCUGCUACCAAUGGGAAUGGUUAUCUAAGGUGACAUGCGUGACUGGACUCAGAAUGGAAAUGAAUCCUUUCAAGUGCACCUCAGAUGGCUGAUAUGGCUAGAAUAAUUUUGAGAGAUUCUGACAAGCACAAAAAAAAAGUGUGUUGCAUGUCAGUGGUUUUUCUUUUUCUUUUUUCCCAACCUUGUUUUUGUUUUACUCUAUUCUUUACAGUUCAUUUUUGGUGCUUGACCCUGGUGCCAUUUAAUUCUCUGGGGCCAGUCCCUUGUACUUUUAGGUAACAAAUAAUGGAAAAAAAAUUUCCUUGUUUGUAUGCUACCAUUUUUUAAAAUUACUAU
Non-coding RNA from Arachis ipaensis, 850 nucleotides. The record is from RefSeq and is a predicted model, not a curated record. NCBI's taxonomy places the organism in Eukaryota, Viridiplantae, Streptophyta, Magnoliopsida, Fabales, Fabaceae.